AACACCUCAACACUCACUCGAUUUGUUUCGAAAUGAGUAUUGGACUUGAGCAAACCCAACGCCUUUCUGCUAGCCAGACUUGCGGCGGGUUGCUUGAAAUGCAGGUGCAGCUGAGUUUUCUUCUGAGCUAAUAGCAUACUUAAUUAGUCCCGUAAAAAGGAUUAUUAAUCUGCUGAAGCUUACACCAAAGGAAGAGCUCUUGACUGACUGAUGCAGAAUUACACAUGGCCGGUAAAACGGCUUUGUAA
Molecule: unclassified non-coding RNA, 248 nt
Filed under: uncultured Mortierella
Lineage: Eukaryota; Fungi; Mortierellomycota; Mortierellomycetes; Mortierellales; Mortierellaceae
Description: partial internal transcribed spacer 2
Source: RNAcentral